RNAcentral lists this ribosomal RNA (526 nucleotides) under uncultured bacterium. Its description in RNAcentral is "bacterial SSU rRNA". It matches the Rfam family "Bacterial small subunit ribosomal RNA", at positions 777 to 1301 of the family's 1533-position model. The record is from RNAcentral.
AAUAGAUACUCGGGUAGUCCACGCCGUAAACGAUGAGUGCUAAGUGUUAGAGGGUUUCCGCCCUUUAGUGCUGCAGCUAACGCAUUAAGCACUCCGCCUGGGGAGUACGGUCGCAAGACUGAAACUCAAAGGAAUUGACGGGGGCCCGCACAAGCGGUGGAGCAUGUGGUUUAAUUCGAAGCAACGCGAAGAACCUUACCAGGUCUUGACAUCCUCUGACAACUCUAGAGAUAGAGCGUUCCCCUUCGGGGGACAGAGUGACAGGUGGUGCAUGGUUGUCGUCAGCUCGUGUCGUGAGAUGUUGGGUUAAGUCCCGCAACGAGCGCAACCCUUGAUCUUAGUUGCCAGCAUUCAGUUGGGCACUCUAAGGUGACUGCCGGUGACAAACCGGAGGAAGGUGGGGAUGACGUCAAAUCAUCAUGCCCCUUAUGACCUGGGCUACACACGUGCUACAAUGGAUGGUACAAAGGGCUGCAAGACCGCGAGGUCAAGCCAAUCCCAUAAAACCAUUCUCAGUUCGGAUUGU